Molecule: ribosomal RNA, 52 nt
Filed under: Triticum aestivum (bread wheat)
Lineage: Eukaryota; Viridiplantae; Streptophyta; Magnoliopsida; Poales; Poaceae
Source: RNAcentral
CCAGCACUAAAGCACCGGAUCCCAUUAGAACUCCGAAGUUAAGCGUGCUUGG